This 568-nucleotide long non-coding RNA is filed under the name Gallus gallus (chicken). The record is from RNAcentral. Lineage: Eukaryota; Metazoa; Chordata; Aves; Galliformes; Phasianidae.
CUUGAAGACAGACCUGGAGGGGUCCGGGGUGGCCGUGAAGAAGUGGACGCAGGGCAAGGCAGGGUCCUGGGGCAGCACGGACACCAUGCUGCCUGCUGUGCGGAAACCCUCCGAGUCCACGCAGAUGCCGCUGUCCUUAUCCCGCAGGAUGGCCAUGAACGUCUCUGCUGUGAUGCGUCCUGCGUGCUGCUGCAGCAGCUCCUUGCCAGCACGAUAGCGGCUCUUGGCAGCCUCCAUGCGUGGCGGCUGCUGUGCCAGGGAGAAAACCUCAGCAAAGCUGAACUGGCCGACCCCGCUCCACCAGCCCUGGCUCUGGGCUCGCUGCCGCAGCCCUGGGUGCUCAGCUGUGAUGUCCGUCCCGAUGCUGAGCUGGUUGGAGAUGUUGCGGCUGCCCUCUUGGAUCCGUUGGGCUGCCCAGUAGCGGCCGGCCGUCUCCAGCACCCAGGCCUCGUGGCGGUCAGCCAGCAGGAAGGUGUUGUGGUACACAAAGGGUAUCGGCUCCUCCUUGCAGCUCCCACCCUGCCCGUGCUGCUCCAGCAGCGCCGUGAUCACCUCCAGCGCUUCCCUG